Molecule: ribosomal RNA, 503 nt
Filed under: uncultured bacterium
Lineage: Bacteria
Description: partial 16S ribosomal RNA
Rfam family: Bacterial small subunit ribosomal RNA
Source: RNAcentral
GAUGAACGCUAGCGGCAGGCCUAACACAUGCAAGUCGAGGGGUAGCAGGAUUAAGCUUGCUUAAUUGCUGACGACCGGCGCACGGGUGCGUAACGCGUAUGCAACCUACCUUAUACUGGGGUAUAGCCCGGAGAAAUUCGGAUUAAUCCCCCAUAGUACUAAUGAAUCGCAUGGUUUAUUAGUUAAAGCAUUGCGGUAUAAGAUGGGCAUGCGUCCUAUUAGCUAGAUGGUGAGGUAACGGCUCACCAUGGCUACGAUAGGUAGGGGGCCUGAGAGGGUGGUCCCCCACACUGGUACUGGGACACGUACCAGACUCCUACGGGAGGCAGCAGUGAGGAAUAUUGGUCAAUGGGCGCAAGCCUGAACCAGCCAUGCCGCGUGCAGGAAGAAUGCCCUAUGGGUUGUAAACUGCUUUUAUUUGGGAAUAAACCUCUUUACGUGUAGAGAGCUGAAGGUACCAAAUGAAUAAGCACCGGCUAACUCCGUGCCAGCAGCCGCAGUAA